CCUACGGGAGGCAGCAGUGGGGAAUAUUGGACAAUGGGGGGAACCCUGAUCCAGCCAUGCCGCGUGUGUGAAGAAGGCCCUCGGGUUGUAAAGCACUUUCAGUGAGGAAGAACGCCUGGUGGUUAAUACCCAUCAGGAAAGACAUCACUCACAGAAGAAGCACCGGCUAACUCCGUGCCAGCAGCCGCGGUAAUACGGAGGGUGCGAGCGUUAAUCGGAAUUACUGGGCGUAAAGCGCGCGUAGGUGGCUUGAUAAGCCGGUUGUGAAAGCCCCGGGCUCAACCUGGGAACGGCAUCCGGAACUGUCAGGCUAGAGUGCAGGAGAGGAAGGUAGAAUUCCCGGUGUAGCGGUGAAAUGCGUAGAGAUCGGGAGGAAUACCAGUGGCGAAGGCGGCCUUCUGGACUGACACUGACACUGAGGUGCGAAAGCGUGGGUAGCAAACAGGAUUAGAUACCCCUGUAGUC
Molecule: ribosomal RNA, 465 nt
Filed under: Vreelandella stevensii
Lineage: Bacteria; Pseudomonadati; Pseudomonadota; Gammaproteobacteria; Oceanospirillales; Halomonadaceae
Description: partial 16S ribosomal RNA
Rfam family: Bacterial small subunit ribosomal RNA
Source: RNAcentral